This 440-nucleotide ribosomal RNA is filed under the name uncultured bacterium. Its description in RNAcentral is "bacterial SSU rRNA". It matches the Rfam family "Bacterial small subunit ribosomal RNA", at positions 1 to 436 of the family's 1533-position model. The record is from RNAcentral.
UAGAGUUUGAUCAUGGCUCAGAACGACCCUUUAAGGCGUGCCUAACACAUGCAAGUCGAACGCGAAAAGCCCUUAUGCUGAGUAGAGUGGCGCACGGGUGAGUAACACGUAAAUGACAUGUCCUCGAGACGGGAAUAACCAGCCGAAAGGCUGGCUAAUACCCGGUAAGCCCACGUCUUUGAAGAUGAGGGAAAAGGGUCGGGAAUUUUCGAAUCCGAUCGCUUGAGGAGUGGUUUGCGGCCCAUCAGGUAGUUGGCGAGGUAAAAGCUCACCAAGCCUAAGACGGGUAGCUGGUCUGAGAGGAUGAUCAGCCACACUGGAACUGAGACACGGUCCAGACUCCUACGGGAGGCAGCAGUGGGGAAUCUUGCGCAAUGGGAGCAAUCCUGACGCAGCAACGCCGCGUGGGUGAUGAAGGUCUUCGGAUCGUAAAGCCCUGU